CUUCUCGCGCUUCUAUUGAUGUCUCUCUUUCUCUCUCUCUCUCAGCGCGCGCAUAUAUUGACGAUUCACAGAUACUCAAAACUCCCCUUAUGCGAAUUUGAAAAUCACGAGACGAUUUUUCAUCGAUUAAAAAUUAAAGCACUUUGUUACGGCUGGGCAGACGGAAAGAUACGUCCGUACCAACAAUGACAAAUACGUCUAGUGAUUAUAACGCGAUAAUUUACGUAUUUGUUUAUUGUGUCUACCCUUCCGAAUGCGAGGUUCAUGUUUGUUUAACUCGCGAGGUUAAUCCAUCGUGGUUUAGUCCCGGCGAAAUGAAAGUUGGGAAGAGGGAUGCCACGUCCUGUUUCGUGGGGUAUGAACCGUAUAAACCGUAAUGUUUAAUUCCGGCGAUUGUCCCCUCGAGGAUUUCGCGAUGCCACCCCUGCGCGGCGUACGCGCGCGCGCGCGCUUUUAACGUUAGCAACGCGUGUUCCUCCCCGACGUGCGCGUUUUAUUUUCUUCGGGCUCACGACUUUAAAUAUAUCGUAUCUUUAAGCGUGGCAAAGGUAUCCGAAUCGAGGGGAGGGGGAGAAUUCGCGCGCGCGAUACAGGUACACGCAAUUGAGUCGAAGUUAAUCGCUUCAUUCGGUGGCGAAACCGCGCGCCGAAAGCUUCAAAGCGACGGGCGCGCCCGCGCGCGCGUGUCGUAUCGACCCUUCACCAUUGGAUGACGCAUCCUCCAAUGACCGGCCGGCCCGGCGAUUACGUCACUCCGGGGUAUUAUUGACGCCGGACGUGUUCAACGGCGUCGCACUGCCGCGUUUCUCCGGGGGCCGUCCCUCCGUGUCUCGCGACCUCGCGGGGUCGUCCUAGGGGGGUUGCGUAACGUUCACGGUGGUGCGAGAUCGCGGGUAGGUAGGUUCAACCCUUUUCGGGGGAGAACCUCAACUACCCGGCGCCCCAGCUGGACGAGAUACGGCGGCGCUUUCCGCGGCGAGGAUCAAAUCCCCGUUGCGGUCCGCAACAUACGUGCGUCGUCUUGAAAAUGGAUUAUCCUUUUGAGUUAUGAUCCCUUACACCUAGAAGGAGGAGGAAUCCCGCAGGGAUGUAGGGGAAAAGGAUGUUAUUACAGAUGUAGGAGAAGAGAGAAAGCCCAUCUCGUUACAUCUCGACGUGGCAUUUACCCGUACGCAAAGACGAUUGUGCGUUUAAAACGGGAGGAACUCGUCCGAGAAGCGUGAGCUUCACUGCGGGUGCGAGAUUAUUGGGGCGAAGUGGCGCAAUACGGAACACGCAUUGCCGUGUUUUGGCCUUCUCCGCUUUUCUCGCUCAAUUUCAGGAAUGCGAUCUUUAUGUCGCCCGACGAGCGUGCCGUGCAAACAAACCACACUCAGAAAAAAAUGUAGCACCAGAUAAUACAAUUGUGGAGUGCUCGUCUACAAAUAAUAGUACAAAUAGGGAUAGAGAUAAAUUGUAAUAAAUAAAUCUAAAAAAUUGUUCUAAGAAACUUGUCUUAAAUCAAUUGACAAACUGCUUAAAACUGUAAAAUAUUGCAGCAUUAAUAAAGCCUAAAAGAUUUGUAAUUUUAAAUAAUUUUAUUGCAAUUUAUUGCAUUUGUUGUGAAAAUAUAGUAGCGUUUGACUUAAAAAAUCUACCACAUUUAAUAAAACUUCGCGCAACAAGAUGUAGUAAAUGCUUAUAGGCAUAUAUGUAAACUAUAAUAAUAACCUGUAGCAAUCUUUAAUUCAACUUGCAGGCCUAUAAAUGCUUUUGUAGAAAACAUAUCAACGAUUAUUGUAAAGCAGUUUAUUAUUUAUAGUAAAGUGUUUAAGAGAUUUAAAGUAAAGUAAACAAAUUGUAUUCACAGUAACUAUAAACUAAUGAUAAAACAAGCAAUACGUUACUACAAAUUAAUGUUAGCUGUUUUAAAUAUUUAAAAUAUUAUUUUAUGGAGUACUACAAUAACGCAAUAAAUUUUAACUGAAUUUUAUAGCAUAAUUUCAUAACUAAUGUAUAACAAGUUAUUUUUAAUGUAUUAUAAUUAUCUAAAACGCUAUAGAUAAAUGUUUUAUAUCUUAUUAAUAAAAUUUAUUUGCGUGUUUGUUUCAUAAAGUCACAGUUUUUGUGUUUACAUGUAACAAAAUAAAUUUACUACAAAAUUAUGGCUAAUCUGUGUAUUUUAUAUUUUCUAUUACAUUACAAUUUAAAGUUAUCUAUCUGACAAAAUAAAAUCUACAAUGUUGUAUUAGUUUUUUCCGAGAGAUUUUUCUCGGUGCACAUCUCGCAUUUUCCCUCUUUCUCCUUCGCGAGGAAGGGGAGACGGAAGCGCGAACUUUCAUCUGGUCUGAAAUUAAAGUUUCGAAGAUGCAAAUCAGCAUUUCAUGCGGACGGAGACUUGCCGAACGGAUCGAUACCCCAUCUAUUUUCUAAGAUUGAACCGUGCCACCGCUUAAAAACCCAACUUCUCAGCGCAAAUUUCUUAGCCACAAAGUCAGUACCUGAAGAUGACCAAACUCCGAUUAACUUAAUCGGCGAUUAAUUCGGUUGGGAGAAUCCGGCUUAAAGUAAAGUUUUUAUCUAUACAAAUUUUCAGUUUAUUAAUCCUCUCUUAUUUCCUACAUUUAAAAGAAAUAAUUUUAUGUUGAUAAAAUAUUACAAGCAUUACUCGAUAAGUUAAUCAUUAUUAAAUAAGUUAAUCAAAGUUUCUAUUGAAUUCUACCAAUGAAGAUUAACUUUCAUGUAGGUUUAAACUUAUUUUCUGCCUUCUUCUAAUUCUUAGAUUAAAAUUAAUCUACACUGGUAGAAACGACCCUAAUUCUUUAUUCAGUCGAGCGUCUCUCCUUACAUUAUUUGUUUUGGACAGUUAAUAUUUAUGAUGACACCUCAAAUCCGUUUUACAUCCGCUGGUCCAGAGAUUCAAGACAGAACUUUGACCCUAGACCACGAAGCAAAUUUCAAAAAUAAGAAUGAAAAACUCGAGAAGAAGAGACUCCAUCGUGCUAUCUUAUUAACGAUUAUCUCGUAAAAAUAGGUGGAUAUUUUGAAGAGUUCAUUCGAUUUCGUUCAUAAGAUUCGUUACACUAUUGAUUGGCAACCAUUUAAAAGCGCGACGAGUUCCAAAGUCAAUUGUCACGCGAUAUCGAUCUCGCGCGCAUUGUUCCACUUUCGUAUCGUCGGUCGGUGUUUUAUAUAAUUGUUGGUGACGGGUAAACGCAGCACAGAUUGAAAAUGAUGACGGACCAGCAGCAGCCUUCGGGACAUUAGCCGGAGGGAAGAGGAGGGAGAGAGGGAGGAGGGCGCCCCCCCCCCUUGAAUUAACGCGGCGUGUCGGACUUCCGUUGUGGCAAAUUGGUGAACGUUCUCCGGCGACUUACGAAAGAUUGAAUAAAGGGAGAGUGGCGUCACCGACUCGGAAUUCGGACCUCUCAGGUCCUCAGCAAGUGUAACAAUA
RNAcentral lists this long non-coding RNA (3433 nucleotides) under Monomorium pharaonis (pharaoh ant). RNAcentral describes it as "uncharacterized LOC118645720". Lineage: Eukaryota; Metazoa; Arthropoda; Insecta; Hymenoptera; Formicidae. The record is from RNAcentral.